Molecule: ribosomal RNA, 477 nt
Filed under: Triticum aestivum (bread wheat)
Lineage: Eukaryota; Viridiplantae; Streptophyta; Magnoliopsida; Poales; Poaceae
Description: partial small subunit ribosomal RNA
Source: RNAcentral
AUGAAGGCUGGUAAGUUUCAGUAUACUAAAGACAAGUUCCUGAAAAGUCUUUCUAACUGGAUUGAAAAAUAUGCAUCUUGUCGGGCGAAGGAAGACUUAAUAAAAUCAGUAAUCCAGGCCGUACCGGUGUAUGCCAUGGGAAGUUUUAAAUUUCCAGCUUCUCUUUGUGAGGAAAUAUCCUAGAUUAUAAGGAACUUCUGGUGGGGAGUGAAGGAAAUAUGAAGGAAAACACAUUGGGUGGCAUGGGACAAAUUGACAAGACCUAAAGGUAAAGGCGGUAUGGGCUUUCGUGAUCUUAGACUUUUUAAUCAAGCUCUUUUGGCAAAACAAGCUUGGCGUUUAUUGAUAUAUCCGGACUCUAUGUGCGAAGUUGAUGAAGGCAAAGUAUUAUCCUCAGGGACAUAUUUUGGAUACGGUGUUCCCGCGUUCUUCAUCAGUUACUUGGCAGGGUAUUAUGCAUGGCUUGGAACUGCUUAA